GGAUCAACAUCAUUUAGCACCAUAUGAACUCAAUAUCUUGGCAGCCUUUUGAUAACAAUCUUCUUUGCUCUCUCAACAGGAAUAAUGGCAUAACUCACUCCACUUUACUUACCCCCAAAAGUAACCUCUGGUCAUCCAGGUCAACAAAAAUUAACUGAUUCCCCAUAGCAAUCUAGCUUGACACAAUUAUACAUUUCCUCUACCAGAGUCAUCUUGUCUCAGAAAUCUGGGAUCACUAGUAAAUCUAUCACUUCGCCUCUGACCAGUGGCAGUAAAACUUAAGCUGGGAAAAUUAGCUCUAAUUUCACUUCCUUUGAAGCUCUGAGUCCUCCGAGGUCUUUGAUAU
RNAcentral lists this long non-coding RNA (346 nucleotides) under Malus domestica (apple). RNAcentral's name for it is "long non-coding RNA (MDOM_LNC012537)". The record is from RNAcentral. Lineage: Eukaryota; Viridiplantae; Streptophyta; Magnoliopsida; Rosales; Rosaceae.